ACCAGGUCUUGACAUCCGAUGCUAUUUCUUAGAGAUAGAAAGGUUACUUCGGUACAUCGGUGACAGGUGGUGCAUGGUUGUCGUCAGCUCGUGUCGUGAGAUGUUGGGUUAAGUCCCGCAACGAGCGCAACCCCUAUUGUUAGUUGCCAUCAUUCAGUUGGGCACUCUAGCGAGACUGCCGGUAAUAAACCGGAGGAAGGUGGGGAUGACGUCAAAUCAUCAUGCCCCUUAUGACCUGGGCUACACACGUGCUACAAUGGUUGGUACAACGAGUUGCGAGUCGGUGACGGCGAGCUAAUCUCUUAAAGCCAAUCUCAGUUCGGAUUGUAGGCUGCAACUCGCCUACAUGAAGUCGGAAUCGCUAGUAAUCGCGGAUCAGCACGCCGCGGUGAAUACGUUCCCGGGCCUU
Molecule: ribosomal RNA, 409 nt
Filed under: uncultured Streptococcus sp.
Lineage: Bacteria; Bacillati; Bacillota; Bacilli; Lactobacillales; Streptococcaceae
Description: bacterial SSU rRNA
Rfam family: Bacterial small subunit ribosomal RNA
Source: RNAcentral